RNAcentral lists this ribosomal RNA (395 nucleotides) under uncultured bacterium. RNAcentral's name for it is "partial 16S ribosomal RNA". It matches the Rfam family "Bacterial small subunit ribosomal RNA", at positions 523 to 918 of the family's 1533-position model. The record is from RNAcentral.
AUACGUAGGGUGCAAGCGUUAAUUGGAAUUACUGGGCGUAAAGCGUGCGCAGGCGGUUUUGUAAGACAGAGGUGAAAUCCCCGGGCUCAACCUGGGAACUGCCUUUGUGACUGCAAGGCUAGAGUACGGCAGAGGGGGAUGGAAUUCCGCGUGUAGCAGUGAAAUGCGUAGAUAUGCGGAGGAACACCGAUGGCGAAGGCAAUCCCCUGGGCCUGUACUGACGCUCAUGCACGAAAGCGUGGGGAGCAAACAGGAUUAGAUACCCUGGUAGUCCACGCCCUAAACGAUGUCAACUGGUUGUUGGGUCUUCAUUGACUCAGUAACGAAGCUAACGCGUGAAGUUGACCGCCGGGGGAGUACGGCCGCAAGGUUGAAACUUAAAGGAAUUGACGGGG